RNAcentral lists this unclassified non-coding RNA (1830 nucleotides) under Leishmania donovani. Its description in RNAcentral is "gene:unknown". Lineage: Eukaryota; Euglenozoa; Kinetoplastea; Trypanosomatida; Trypanosomatidae. The record is from RNAcentral.
CUUGUGAUAACUCAGGGUGCAGUGCUUCCCCUGCCCCCCAACUCUGUCCGGGAGGAAACCGAGUAGACCCCCACACUACCUCUAUCGCUGGAAAGUACCUAACCCCUUCUGGUCGUUCCAGUGCCAAGUAGCGGUGAUUUCAGAAAGUCAUGGCGAUGCAUCGCUACUGAUGUCGAAGGUCAGGACCUGGACGACAUUGCGUCGGAGCAACCCGCGACAGUGAGCCCGCUUGCACCAUACACAGGGAAAAGUGUCACAGUGACUCGAGCGAAUCCCCUACCUCUGGCUCUCACACUGCUCACUGGUGUGGGGAGCCGGAGUGCUACCCCGAGACGGAUGCACCAGGUGGCGAUUGGCAUAAUUUGAGCUGCUGUGUUUUGGCUUUCGAGCCAGAGGCUGUGCUGCGAUGACUGGGUCGGUGGCCUUCCUGUAACACGUGCGUUCAUGGCUGCUUCGCGCCACGCGCUGCUGAGCCUGUGAGAGACCCCAGUAGAGCGGAGUGCAGCUCAUGCUCUGUGGUAGAAAAUGGACACACGUUGAAAACCAAGAAAAAACCAGCGAAUCCCUUUUCUGUUGAAUGCGCACCUAUGCGUUUGCUGUAGGCCUCAUGCACGUGUACGUGGGUGCCUGCGAAUGUGUCUGUGACGGCGCUCUAGAUUUGGGCAGAGACUUUGUGGGGCUCGCCCUCCCCCUUUUCUGAUCACCGCGUCCAUAUCAACCUUCUCAAUCUCCCUCUGCGGCCAUCAUUUUCAAGCUGCUGCUUGGGCUGCGUGCGGCGAAGGGAGCAAGCACGACACAUACGUGCACAUGCACAGACGCACCUCCCUCCCCCUCGUCGUGCUUGCGUUCUCAAACGCUCUUCUCUCUCUUUUUUUUUGCAUUUUCAAACAUGUUAUCGUGAACUAAUCACCUCCCCCCUCCACAAGCACACGCGCACGCGCACACACACGCGUCCGAUCCUCCCUCGCGUGUGUGUGCGCGUGCGCGUGUGCUUGUGGCUUUUACUUACCUCUCUCUCCCGCUUCGUUAUUUCGUUUUUCCUUUGGUGGAUGUGUGUGCGCGCGCGUGCUCGUUGUGGUCUUUGUCUACAUCCAUGUGUGAGGAUGGCGGUGAGGCGAUGCUUCGGGGUUGUCAUGACCCUCCUCAUUCCUCCUCUUCCUCCUCCUCCAUGCGGGGAGGGCUGGGAGCAUUCUUAGCGGAGGGUGUGGCCUGUGGCUGAGAGGCGCGAUGCUCAUGCUGUGGUGCGUGAUCGUAUGGGACGCACAUAUGCCUGUGUGCAUGUCCCUGCGUGUGUGUGUGCGUUACAUUGAAGGGGCGAGAAAUAAACGCACAGCGAAGCGAUAACGCGAAGCGGUGCGACGUGGGCGUGUAGGUGUGUCGGUGCGUGGCGCACCCGUCUCUGUGUGGGCGCUCAGGACGUGUGCGACUUUCUGGGUGUGGAGGGAGGGAAGGGGGGGGCGUGGUGGAUUGAAGGCAUGCAUAUUGAGGAUGGGGGAGAUGUACGGCGACGCGUCGAUCUGUGCGCUCGUGGGCAACAAACGGUGCCCUGUCGUGAUCUUCGCCUUCGCUCCGACUCUUUCUCUUCCGCAUCCUCCAGUCGCGUUGCCUUUGCCCUUUCCCAGACCCCACCCCACUCCCUGCUCAGGCAAUGUGCGCGCACGAGUAUGCGGUCUGGCGUGCGUCUCGGGGUCUCUGCGUCUGUCCUUGCUCUGCAGAGGCAACCUCAUCGCCCUCCUCGAACUUCUCACCGUCGCUAUCUUGUCCAUCGCACUCUCCAUCGAAUUGCCGCACACUUCUCUUGUGCACGUGCGGCUCCCACCCUUUCCAAAG